UACGUAGGUGGCGAGCGUUGUCCGGAUUUACUGGGCGUAAAGAGCGCGCAGGCGGUCGUACAAGUCGCGUGUGAAAGCCCCCGGCUCAACUGGGGAGGGUCACGCGAUACUGUUCGACUCGAAGGCAGGAGAGGGAAGUGGAAUUCCCGGUGUAGUGGUGAAAUGCGUAGAUAUCGGGAGGAACACCAGAGGCGAAGGCGGCGACCUGGACAGUUACUGACACUCAACUACGAAAGCGUGGGGAGCAAACAGG
Molecule: ribosomal RNA, 253 nt
Filed under: uncultured bacterium
Lineage: Bacteria
Description: partial 16S ribosomal RNA
Rfam family: Bacterial small subunit ribosomal RNA
Source: RNAcentral